This 791-nucleotide ribosomal RNA is filed under the name Bertolanius volubilis. RNAcentral's name for it is "SSU rRNA". It matches the Rfam family "Eukaryotic small subunit ribosomal RNA", at positions 102 to 892 of the family's 1831-position model. Lineage: Eukaryota; Metazoa; Tardigrada; Eutardigrada; Parachela; Eohypsibiidae. The record is from RNAcentral.
UAAAUCAGUUAUGGUUCACUAGAUCGUAAAACUUACAUGGAUAACUGUGGUAAUUCUAGAGCUAAUACAUGCACCAAGCUCGCUUCCUUGUGGAGCGAGCGCAGUUAUUAGAACAAAACCAAUCCGGCCCUCGGGUCGGUACAAUUGGUGACUCUGAAUAACCGAAGCGGAGCGUAUGGUCUCGUACCGACGCCAGAUCUUUCAAGUGUCUGACUUAUCAGCUCGUUGUUAGUUCAUGUUACUAACAAGGCAGUUACGGGUAACGGGGUAUCAGGGUCCGAUACCGGAGAGGGAGCCUGAGAAACGGCUACCACAUCCAAGGAAGGCAGCAGGCGCGCAAAUUACCCACUCCCGGCUCGGGGAGGUAGUGACGAAAAAUAACGAUGCGAGAGCUUUAUGCUCCUCGUAAUCGGAAUGGGUACACUUUAAAUCCUUUAACGAGGAUCUAUUGGAGGGCAAGUCUGGUGCCAGCAGCCGCGGUAAUUCCAGCUCCAAUAGCGUAUAUUAAAGUUGCUGCGGUUAAAAAGCUCGUAGUUGGAUCUGGGUCGUCGAUGAGCGGUGCGCUUUACGGCGUUUACUGUUUGUUCGGCACCACAAGCCGGCCAUGUCUUGCAUGCUCUUCACUGAGUGUGCUUGGCGACCGGAACGUUUACUUUGAAAAAAUUAGAGUGCUCAACGCAGGCGUACGGCCUUGCAUAAUGGUGCAUGGAAUAAUGGAACAGGACCUCUGGUACUGCUUUGUUGGUUUUCGGAACUCGAGGUAAUGAUAAAUAGGAGCAGACGGGGGCAUU